RNAcentral lists this ribosomal RNA (544 nucleotides) under uncultured bacterium. Its description in RNAcentral is "bacterial SSU rRNA". It matches the Rfam family "Bacterial small subunit ribosomal RNA", at positions 777 to 1321 of the family's 1533-position model. The record is from RNAcentral.
AAUAGAUACCCCGGUAGUCCACGCCGUAAACGUUGGAUACUAGGUGUGGCGUCCCGAUCAACGGAUGCCGUGCCGAAGCUAACGCAUUAAGUAUCCCGCCUGGGGAGUACGGCCGCAAGGCUAAAACUCAAAGGAAUUGACGGGUCCCCGCACAAGCGGCGGAGCAUGCGGCUUAAUUCGAUGCAACCCGAAGAACCUUACCUGGGUUUGAAAUCAUGGGAAAAGCUGUAGAAAUACAGUGUCCGUAAGGGCCCAUGACAGGUGGUGCAUGGCUGUCGUCAGCUCGUGUCGUGAGAUGUUGGGUUAAGUCCCGCAACGAGCGCAACCCUUGUCCUAUGUUGCCAGCGGUUCGGCCGGGGACUCAUAGGAGACUGCCGGGGAUAACUCGGAGGAAGGUGAGGACGACGUCAAGUCAUCAUGCCCCUUAUAUCCAGGGCUGCACGCAUGCUACAAUGGUCGGUACAACGGGCAGCGACCCCGCGAGGGUGAGCGAAUCCCACAAAGCCGGCCUCAGUUCGGAUCGGGGUCUGCAACUCGACCCCGU